GUGACGGUUUUGUCAGAUUGGUCGUCGAUAUUGGCGAGGAAUGCCGCACAUACCGAACCAGUCUUGUAUACGUGCGCCUGAAGACAGAGGAAUGCAGAUAUCAUCAAUUCAUCAUUAAGCCUAACCAAGCAGAUUGCAAAGAUAAAAGUUGCUUUUGGAAAAGCAGAUCACAUACCUCAGCAUUUUGACCAAGGGACAUGUAUGAUGGAUCAGUUGCUAUGAGUGCAGGUUCACACAUCUUUAUUGCCUUGUGCACAUCCCUCAGGUGACCCCACUUCGGCUGCCUCACUAGACCUGAAUCACACAUUGCGAAAAGGAAACAAAAUUACUCAAACAUGACCAACGCCAAUGAUCCCCAUGUUUGUUCAGUUUUCCGGUGGGAAAGUGCGUGCGCUCGCUCCAUGAUGUCCUGAACAUUUGCAAGUGCAAUACUGGGGUGCAGAACUAGCGCGUGCCUCGGGUGUGCGUGGAUGUGGUCAGUUUUAGUAGCAGACUUAGCUGCUCCAGAAGACAGGUUCUCACCGUACUCGUCGAUCGGAGCGUCAUAGUCGUAGCUCGUGGCGAUGAAUGGCCCUCCGGAGCUCCGGCCGAAGUUGGUCCCUCCGUGGUACUGCCGACAGAUGCAAGACCCAGAGUUAAGCAGGCAAGAGAUAGGAAGUGCAGA
Molecule: long non-coding RNA, 664 nt
Organism: Lolium perenne
Lineage: Eukaryota; Viridiplantae; Streptophyta; Magnoliopsida; Poales; Poaceae
Source: RefSeq, a predicted model, not a curated record